Molecule: transfer RNA, 77 nt
Filed under: Clostridium coskatii
Lineage: Bacteria; Bacillati; Bacillota; Clostridia; Eubacteriales; Clostridiaceae
Description: tRNA-Ile
Source: RNAcentral
ACAACCAUAUAAAGCUUAACCCCUUUGGACUUUGCCCUUUGAAGCUCCCUUAUGAGCCGUAUAUCGUCGUGGGUGUC